GGGCCCGCACAAGCGGUGGAGCAUAUGGUUUAAUUCGAUGAUACGCGGAACACCUCACCAAGGCUUGAAAUGCAGCUGCAAAUCCAGGGAAACUUGGACUUCUUCGAGAGUGCUGCACAGGUGCUGCAUGGUUGUCGUCAGCUCGUGUCGUGAGAUGUCGGGUUAAGUCCUUUAACGAGCGCAACCCUCAUCUUGUGUUACUUUUAGUCACAAGAAACUGCCCCGCUCAACGGGGAGGAAGGCGAGGAUGACGUCAAAUCAGCAUGGCUCUUACGCCUUGGGCCACACAUGUGCUACAAUGGCCGGUACAAAGGGUUGCUAAGCGGUAACGCGGAGCUAAUCCCAUCAAAACCGGUCUCAGUUCGGAUUGGGGUCUGCAAUUCGACCCCAUGAAGCUGGAAUCGCUAGUAACCGUGAAUCAGCAUGUCACGGUGAAUACGUUCUCGGGCCUU
Molecule: ribosomal RNA, 452 nt
Filed under: uncultured bacterium
Lineage: Bacteria
Description: bacterial SSU rRNA
Rfam family: Bacterial small subunit ribosomal RNA
Source: RNAcentral